This is a long non-coding RNA of Amblyraja radiata (thorny skate), 163 nucleotides long. RefSeq lists it as uncharacterized. The record is from RefSeq and is a predicted model, not a curated record. The transcript has 3 exons. NCBI's taxonomy places the organism in Eukaryota, Metazoa, Chordata, Chondrichthyes, Rajiformes, Rajidae.
AAGAGCUCAUUCUAAUGCCCCUGUCCCAGUUAGGAAACCUGGACGGAAACCUCUGCAGGCUUUGCGCCCCACCCAAGGUUUCCGUGCGGUUCCCGGAGGUUGCAGGUGGUUGUCGGAGGUUGCGGGUAGUGGAAGCAGGUAGGGAGACUGACAAAAACCUCUG